AUGAGUUGAUUUCUCAUUCUUGCUUUGUUCUCACUAGGUGUACAAUAUGAUCGGCUUUAUACUCCUUAUCUUUUGUAAAUGGUAUAAUCGUUUAGUCUUUCGCUUCUGGGGAAAAUUUUUGGCACUAUUGAUGAAUGUGACAAUUAUUCAGAUACACAAACAUUACAUUGAAACAACAGAUUCUUAAAUGCAGAAUAGAACAAGUAACAGAUUUUACAAGAUAAAACAAGUCCUAUCUCUAUUUAGUGGUUCCUAACAUAGGAACUUAUUAACUUCACAAAAUCAAACUUCGACAAAAGAUAAAUCUUAAAAUCAAAAUUCUCCACUGCUAUAGUUGGAAUCGGUGAAAUCAUCCCAAACAAGAAUACAUUUUAUUUAUUACUGCUCUUUGCUGAAUAGUAUGUCUGUGCAAUAGUGAGGCCUAGCAGCGCCACAGCUGCCAACACUCCUAUGAGUUUCCAAACCGUAGGAAUGUGUUCCUUUAUCAGAAUGCUGUACCAGUUUUUGCAAUAGUAAACAAUAAUUGCAAUGAUACGUCUGCACUGAUGCCAAGUGACUAUUGGCCAUUUUGUUAAGGAUCUCGUUCCCGUGUCUGAGUUCAACUUGCCACAAACGUCACUAUAACUCCAAUCCAUCUGAUCAACUCCCUCACUCAGAGUUUGAAACAUCUUCAGCAAAUCUACAUUUCUUUUCCCGGAUUCGUUCACUAUAAUUCCAAGACGCUCCAGCAGUUCGAUGUCAUGCGUACAACAAAUCAAGCCUUGGAAAAACAAAGCAUACGAAGUCAAUUUGCAACUGGUUACAAUUCUGCUCUGCUCCCACGCAAUCAUGUUCCUCCAUGUGACUUCCGUUGACUUCUUAAUACGAAGCUGAGGAAUCUCCAACACCCCUUUGUCGAAAUUUAUCUCAAAGUUAAAGAUUUCACCAAACUGGUUCAUAUUGCUUCUACCUCCUUGUCUUAUCGUUACUCCACGAGCUCGAAGUCUAGUGGCACAGCGCUUUAACUCUUUAUGCGCUCGCCUAGUUUUUUUUCUAUCCUCCUGGUUCACGAUGGACAAAUAAACAAGGUGAAGAAGAUGAGCCGCACCAGAUGUAGGAACAACAGAAGUGUAGCCUAGAGCUUCCAUUGCAAGAGUAGCAACACGGUGAUCUUGCUCAACGGGAACAGGAACCGGGAAAAGUUUUCUGUACAGCUUCUUGAGAACAAUGAAGGGUACUUGAUUCUCAAGCAGAAGCAAGUCACUCAACACAGACAAGACUUUGUCAAGGCUUUCGAAUACAGGGUCGUCAUCAUAUUCACCAUUCUCCCCAGCCUUCAAGGAUUCCUUAUACUCGUGAAGCCUGUGAAUAAACUCUAACAAGAAAAAACCAUCCAGAAGCAUAAGUUUUGCUAGCUCGUGUGGUUCAGAUAGAGCGUUCCCCCCAUAGCUGGCACGAACUAUGUAUUCUAUCUCAAGAAUGGUCUCGCCGCAUUCUUUCACCGUGCUUGGGCCGUCUUUAAUUUUCCCCUCUUGUUCCGCUUGGAACAGGGAUCGUCCUAGAAGAGACAGCAUGUAAUUCCAUUUGGGUUGUUCCAUCAUCAAGAGAUCGUUUUGGGAUCCCUUGUGGUAGGGUCCGAUGGAGACAACCUGCGGAACGUAUGCGUCCUUGUUUGGCUUUCUAAGCUUGUCUGGAACCUUGGAGAUGCUACAUGCCUCAACUUCUCCGUGUCUUACAGUACCCAGCAACACUUGAAUAGGAAAGAUCCAACUGGUGGGGUCAACGUUGAGUUCUCUUCCUGAAGCCAUAUCUCACCUAUUAGGCGAACGAAGAAUUCACAGAACAAGCUCCAGCAAGUGGUUGUUCUUGUUUUUUCCUUUUGAUAUUAUUUAGGUUGAGAUUUAAGAAAGACUCGGGACAACACUGAUCCAAAUAUAUAGUUCAGUGAGUUGAAAAGCUGAAAAAGAUUAAGAUUUACGGAGAGCAGUAUGAGUAGGAUGCAGUGGCUGGCAUGUAAAAGGUGGGGAGGAGAUUAGUAAAAUCGAAAGGGGA
This 2031-nucleotide small RNA is filed under the name Vigna angularis var. angularis. RNAcentral's name for it is "Non-protein coding transcript". The record is from RNAcentral. Lineage: Eukaryota; Viridiplantae; Streptophyta; Magnoliopsida; Fabales; Fabaceae.